UAUACGGUGAAACUGCGAAUGGCUCAUUAAAUCAGUUAUCGUUUAUUUGAUAGUACCUUACUACUUGGAUAACCGUGGUAAUUCUAGAGCUAAUACAUGCUAAAAACCCCAACUUCGGAAGGGGUGUAUUUAUUAGAUAAAAAACCAAUGCCCUUCGGGGCUCCUUGGUGAUUCAUAAUAACUUAACGAAUCGCAUGGCCUUGUGCCGGCGAUGGUUCAUUCAAAUUUCUGCCCUAUCAACUUUCGAUGGUAGGAUAGUGGCCUACCAUGGUUUCAACGGGUAACGGGGAAUUAGGGUUCUAUUCCGGAGAGGGAGCCUGAGAAACGGCUACCACAUCCAAGGAAGGCAGCAGGCGCGCAAAUUACCCAAUCCCGACACGGGGAGGUAGUGACAAUAAAUACUGAUACAGGGCUCUUUUGGGUCUUGUAAUUGGAAUGAGUACAAUUUAAAUCCCUUAACGAGGAACAAUUGGAGGGCAAGUCUGGUGCCAGCAGCCGCGGUAAUUCCAGCUCCAAUAGCGUAUAUUAAAGUUGUUGCAGUUAAAAAGCUCGUAGUUGAACCUUGAACUUGGUUGGUUGGUCCGCCUCACCGCGUGCACUGAUCCGACCGGGUUUUUCCUUCUGGGGAGCCGCAUGUCCUUCAUUGGGUGUGUCGGGGAACCAGGACUUUUACUUUGAAAAAAUUAGAGUGUUCAAAGCAGGCCUAUGCUCGAAUACAUUAGCAUGGAAUAAUAGAAUAGGACGUGUGUCUCUAUUUUGUUGGUUUCUAGGGACGCCGUAAUGAUUAAUAGGGAUAGUCGGGGGCAUCAGUAUUCCGUUGUCAGAGGUGAAAUUCUUGGAUUUACGGAAGACUAACUACUGCGAAAGCAUUUGCCAAGGAUGUUUUCAUUAAUCAGUGAACGAAAGUUAGGGGAUCGAAGACGAUCAGAUACCGUCGUAGUCUUAACCAUAAACUAUGCCGACUAGGGAUCGGGCGAUGUUAUCUUUUUGACUCGCUCGGCACCUUACGAGAAAUCAAAGUCUUUGGGUUCU
This 1032-nucleotide ribosomal RNA is filed under the name Gremmeniella abietina. RNAcentral's name for it is "SSU rRNA". It matches the Rfam family "Eukaryotic small subunit ribosomal RNA", at positions 75 to 1115 of the family's 1831-position model. The record is from RNAcentral. Lineage: Eukaryota; Fungi; Ascomycota; Leotiomycetes; Helotiales; Godroniaceae.